GCUUGUCUCAAGACUAAGCCAUGCAUGUGCAAGUAUAAACGCUUGAACGGUGAGACUGCGAAUGGCUCAUUAAAUCAGUUAUAGUUUAUUUGAUGGUGACUGACUACGUGGAUAACCGUGGUAAUUCUAGAGCUAAUACAUGCAAAAAGUCCCGACUCUCUCGGGAAGGGGCGUAUUUAUUAGAUCCAAAACCAACUCGGGUCGUGCUCGGCUCGGCCCGGCAGUUUUCGGUGAUUCAUAGUAACUGGUCGAAUCGCAGGGCCUUGGAGCCGGCGAUGGUUCAUUCAAGUUUCUGCCCUAUCAACUUUCGAUGGUAGGGUAUUGGCCUACCAUGGUCGCAACGGGUGACGGAGAAUUAGGGUUCGAUUCCGGAGAGGGAGCCUGAGAAACGGCUACCACAUCCAAGGAAGGCAGCAGGCGCGCAAAUUACCCAAUCCCGACUCGGGGAGGUAGUGACAAUAAAUAACAAUGCCGGUCCCCAAAGUGGUCCGGCAAUUGGAAUGAGAACAAUCCAAACCCCUUAACGAGGAACAAUUGGAGGGCAAGUCUGGUGCCAGCAGCCGCGGUAAUUCCAGCUCCAAUAGCGUAUAUUAAAGUUGUUGCAGUUAAAAAGCUCGUAGUUGGAUUUCGGGGCCCGUUGGUCCGUUCGGUGUUGGGUCCUGGCGACCUUGUGGAAGCUUGGUUCCUCGCCGGCGGGCUGCGCUCGGCCGGUGCGGUCCGCCAARAGGCAAGNACUGCCCGGCGGYUCCCCAGUCUCUCGAAGUCUCCGUCUGCUCUUGACUGCASCGGUCGGGGGAUUCGGGACGUUUACUUUGAACAAAUUAGAGUGUUCCAAGCAGGCCGGUCGCUUUGAAUACGUUAGCAUGGAAUAAUGGAAUAGGGCUGGUUGUCCUAUUUUGUUGGUUUUCGGGACGGCAGUCAUGGUCGAUAGGGACGAUUGGGGGCGUUCGUAUUCAGUUGUCAGAGGUGAAAUUCUCGGAUUUACGGAAGACGUGCUGGUGCGAAAGCGUUCGUCACGUGCGUUUUCAUUAAUCAAGAACGAAAGUUGGGGGU
Molecule: ribosomal RNA, 1053 nt
Filed under: Haplosclerida sp. SX252
Lineage: Eukaryota; Metazoa; Porifera; Demospongiae; Haplosclerida
Description: SSU rRNA
Source: RNAcentral